Seriola aureovittata is the source of this 461-nucleotide long non-coding RNA. RefSeq lists it as uncharacterized. NCBI's taxonomy places the organism in Eukaryota, Metazoa, Chordata, Actinopteri, Carangiformes, Carangidae. The transcript is spliced from 2 exons. The record is from RefSeq and is a predicted model, not a curated record.
UGGAGCAGGAGGAAGUGUUGGCAGCAGGAGAACUUAACGACUGACGCAAAACCACUGCAGCAAAAACAAAUCAACCAGCCUGGAAAAAAAGAAAAGAAAAGAGACGGCGGCUCAACUCUCUUCUGUUAGACCAGCCUCCAGUUUCCAGCAGCAGGAGGAGACGAUGGCUGAGUGAGACAAAGACGGAGCCAGCUGCAGGGGAGGAAGCUCGGCGGUCGCUCCCGUCUCUUCCCCUCGUGCCGCUGAGGUGAACAGUCGUCAGCGUUAGCAGCGCUCUGCCUCCGGCUGAAUGAAAAUAUGGUUUAAUGUAUGUACUUUUUUUUUUUUUUUUACUAUGAUAUCGGAUGGUAUCUGGGAUUUGUAAAGUAGGCCAGUUAUUUUUUGAUGACAGCCGCGGUCGUAGCUGCUCCACACUGGAUUAUUCCUCACAAAUUAUUUAUGUUAAUAAAAGCCUGUCUUCA